AUGGCUAGGGCUAGUUCGCUGCGCAACGUACAGAGAUUUCACCCCUCCGGAAGAGCGUCAAUGACUGGGGGAAACCACUUAGCAACGAAAAGCAUGGUGCAGCUGUUCAAUGAGUGGGAGAUCCAACUACUGGUGCUUGUUAGCUUCACAAUCCAGUUCUUUCUCUUCUUUGCUGGCAGCCUCCGGCGGCGUAUCAGAAACAGUGCAAUGAGAUCAUUAAUGUGGCUAGCUUACUUGGGAGCGGACGUGGUAGCAGCUUAUGUCCUAGGCCUCAUCUCGCGACAAGAGGUUUCCACUCAUCAUCUGGCUUUUUUCUGGGCGCCCUUCCUCCUCAUACAUCUCGGCGGACAAGACACCAUCACUGCUUUUGCCAUCGAGGACAACACUCUCUGGCGGCGGCAUUUGUUGAAUCUUGUUGUCCAAGCGUCCCUCACCCUGUAUAUCUUCUGGAAAUCAUUCGAUGGCGGCCCUAACAUGCAGCUUCUUGCUCCUAGCAUCCUUUUGUUUAUUACUGGCAGCCUGAGAAACGUCAGGGACUUGUCUUCUCGUUGGGAUACAUACCUUAUCUCUCCUGGCCCUGUUUCCUCUGCCUUGAGCUCAGCAGAUCUUGUGCGCACGUUUUUUACUGGCCUUAAUUGCCCCCUUCACGGUUGGGCUAUCGAUAUGUUGCGCCCAGACCUUUCAACCAGGUUAUUCGAGAUCAUGGAGAUUCAACUCGGCCUGAUGUAUGAUGAUAUCUAUACUAAGGCCCUCGUGCUUCGGACGUGGGGUUGCACCAUACUUCGGUGCAUCUCACAUCUUUCCUUUCUGGCCGCUUUUGUGCUCUUCUCUUCGGUAGUAAGAAACAAAGAAGAGAGGUGGCACUACAUUUCAUUUGACGCUGCAAUCACCUAUGGACUGUUUUUCGGCGGUUUCUCUCUUGAAGUUUCCUCAGUAUGUAUCAUCAUGAUGUCACCUCGAUCUUGUGCGUGCCUAGAUACUCGGCAUUGUAGCUUCCUUGGUUCCAUCAUUACUAGGUGUAGGCGUCCAAGGAAAAGAAGGGUGUUGUGGUCAAACUCCAUGGGUCAGUUCAACAUGUUAAACUAUUUGGGGCAGUAUGACCGGCACUCAAGUAAAAGCAUGUCUGUGAUCAGGAAACUAGCGAAUGUAUUUUGCAGGACGGCAUAUCAAAAGUUGUGGAUCAGUAAGCAGGUGGACACCAAGUUCGUGGAGGUGGAUGAGCACAUCAUGAGAUGCGUCGUCCAGAGGAUAGCUCAGUAUCGAAAUGAUGGUAGCCCCCAGCAGCAAUGGCCAACUCUUGGUCCACUGCUAGGGAAGUUAGCGCAGGAACCUGAUUCCAACUUUGAUUGUGAUGCCAUUAUCAUCCUCCAUGUAUUCACAGAGGUACAGUUGAGUACGUAUGUAACCACUGCUGCUGUGGAGAGUGAGCCUAGCGAUGCUUCGGUCCGUGGUGUAUGCCGGAUGAUAUCCCAGUAUAUGUUUUAUCUUUUGGUCACGCACCCUGAAAUGCUGCCAAUCAGGGAUAGCGACCAAAGUUAUCUUGCGUCAGUAACAAGGCAUUAUAAAAAUUUGAAGGGUGCGGAUGUUAAUGACAUCCAGCGUCGGGCAAUAUUGUACUUGACUAGAUUUGAUUUAUUAUCGGACCCCCCAGAGGAAUGCACAGAAGCGCAGCUGUUGGAGAUCCGAGAGGCAUGGGUAGGUCUGCUCCUCCAUGUCGCCAGCAAGUCGCGGCCGGAGAUGCAUGCGGCGCUGCUAGCCAGUGGAGGGGAGCUCCUUACCUUCAUCUGGCUGCUCAUGGCCCACUACGGACUUGGGGAUGUCCACGGCUGCCCCAUCGAGAUGAUGGCUGAUCGUGCACCUACUGGUCAGCGCCACUACGCCUUCUGA
RNAcentral lists this ribosomal RNA (1887 nucleotides) under Triticum aestivum (bread wheat). RNAcentral's name for it is "partial small subunit ribosomal RNA". Lineage: Eukaryota; Viridiplantae; Streptophyta; Magnoliopsida; Poales; Poaceae. The record is from RNAcentral.